GGAGGUGUUCGAUGUCCGGUGACAUCCGCAGUUUUCAAAACUGUUGUGGGGCCGAAAAGGUCCCGGGUGGGUUCGACUCCCAUACACCUCCGC
This 93-nucleotide transfer RNA is filed under the name Planctomycetota bacterium. Its description in RNAcentral is "tRNA-Sec". It matches the Rfam family "Selenocysteine transfer RNA". Lineage: Bacteria; Pseudomonadati; Planctomycetota. The record is from RNAcentral.